AGGUUGAACGCUAGCGGCAUGCCUAACACAUGCAAGUCGAACGGUAACAGGCCCUUCGGGGUGCUGACGAGUGGCGGACGGGUGAGUAAUGCGUAGGAAUCUACCCACGAGUGGGGGAUAGCCCGGAGAAAUCCGGAUUAAUACCGCAUAUCGCCCGUAACGGGGUAAAGGCGGGGAUCGUAAGACCUCGCGCUGGUGGAUGACGCCUACGUCCGAUUAGUUAGUUGGGUAGGGGUAAACGGCCU
This 245-nucleotide ribosomal RNA is filed under the name uncultured prokaryote. Its description in RNAcentral is "partial 16S ribosomal RNA". It matches the Rfam family "Bacterial small subunit ribosomal RNA", at positions 26 to 266 of the family's 1533-position model. The record is from RNAcentral.